CUGGGACUGACAAAGGACCCGGGGGGAGCUUAAAACGCUUGCCUCGCAAUUUAGAAAUGACAAUGGCAACAAUAACAGCAAUGAAGAGACCCAAAAGGGUCUUCUCCAGGAGGAGGAGAUCCAUGGGAGGCUUGGUUUGAUGGAUUAGAGAGGGUGAGAGGUAGGUAUUGGCCUAGUGGGUGUGGUGAGGGACAAAGGAAGAUGAUGGGGGAGUUGGUAUUUUAUAAUCAAGUU
This 234-nucleotide unclassified non-coding RNA is filed under the name Hevea brasiliensis (rubber tree). The record is from RNAcentral. Lineage: Eukaryota; Viridiplantae; Streptophyta; Magnoliopsida; Malpighiales; Euphorbiaceae.